AAAGGAAUAGACGGGGGCCCGCACAAGCGGUGGAGCAUGUGGUUUAAUUCGAUGCAACGCGAAGAACCUUACCAGGUCUUGACAUCUGGCGAAUCCUUAUGAAAGUAGGGAGUGCCUUUUAGGAACGCCAAGACAGGUGGUGCAUGGUUGUCGUCAGCUCGUGUCGUGAGAUGUUGGGUUAAGUCCCGCAACGAGCGCAACCCCUGCUAUUAGUUGCUAACAAGUAGUGUUGAGCACUCUAAUGGGACCGCCUGUGACAAGCAGGAGGAAGGUGGGGAUGACGUCAAAUCAUCAUGCCCUUUAUGACCUGGGCUACACACGUGCUACAAUGGAUGGUACAGAGAGCAGCAAAACCGUGAGGUCAAGCGAAUCUCAAAAAGCCAUUCUCAGUUCGGAUUGUAGUCUGCAACUCGACUACAUGAAGUCGGAAUCGCUAGUAAUCGCGAAUCAGCAUGUCGCGGUGAAUGCGUUCCCGGGCCUUGUACACACCGCCCGU
This 496-nucleotide ribosomal RNA is filed under the name uncultured bacterium. RNAcentral's name for it is "bacterial SSU rRNA". It matches the Rfam family "Bacterial small subunit ribosomal RNA", at positions 903 to 1397 of the family's 1533-position model. The record is from RNAcentral.